GCAGAUGUGCUUUAAUUUCAGGCUAACGAAGGCGACGCAGGAGCAGCGGAGCUCACCGGAGAUUCCUCACCAGUUAAACUUGAAUAGAACUUGACUCCCGGACGAUCCUCGACGGUCUCAAAAAAAAAAAAAACCCCUUGGAUAAUUCCGCUAUGGCGAAGGGGAAGCGGAACUACCGACCCAGCCCUUCACUCUGCAGUAGCUGCUUCAAAUGAAUGGUGUGUGUGAAGUUUGUCUCAGUCCAGAAAUUACAGCCCGUGUGUAAAACUGCUCUGUUAAUAAUUAAAGCUGUGAUAACUCUACACGUGAGAAACAUGCUGAAACUAAAUCAGAAAUUAAAUUAAGUCGAAAAGCAUUUUAGGUAAUGUAGUUCAACAUUUAAAAGUCUGUCAACAAGAUGCUGAUAAGUACACAUUUAUACACUCACGUUUUAAUUCAGUUAUGGUCCAUCAACACUGUGUUUUUUUUUUUUUUUUGGUGAAAGAUUUUGAAUCAUGAUACACACUUAUUUCAUAAAUAAAAACAAUACUGUGGCAGAUUUCUCUGUGUUAUCUCUGAAAUAGAGAUGGAAACAGAACCAGCUCAGAGUUUGAUGCCUUAUCACCCAGAUCAAUGUGAUAACAAGUUAACAUGUGGUUUGCCUUGCCCAUAUAUGGUAUAGAUACUUGUAUCUGUCUAUAACUGUCUAUAUAUGAAUAUGAAGCUCUAUAUUUAAUUAUCUAGAUCUAAAUGCCACUCAUGAUAUAUAUUUUCCAUUUCAGAAGCUUAAAUUACAGAAUUUUAUAAGAAAAGUAUUUUAUAACUAGCCUGAAUAUGCACUACAGUAUUAUGACACUGCAAUUAUAACUUACAAUCUGACCUUUGUUGAUAAAAAAAAAAAAAAAGAGGUAGAAAUUCAACAAACAAACUUUAUUGUCAUCACACAGCAAGUUCACAAAGAGCACACAAAACAGAUCUUUGCUUUUUUAUCAUUUGGAGUUCAAAAUAUUGUUUGCAGUUGAGAUAAAGAGCUUCCUAUGAACAUGACUGGUGGCCACACCACAUUCUUGAGUCAAGUGUUUCAAAGUGAAUAAAUAAACAAAUGUCAUCUUCCA
This is a long non-coding RNA of Seriola aureovittata, 1094 nucleotides long. RefSeq lists it as uncharacterized. NCBI's taxonomy places the organism in Eukaryota, Metazoa, Chordata, Actinopteri, Carangiformes, Carangidae. The record is from RefSeq and is a predicted model, not a curated record. The transcript is spliced from 2 exons.